UACGGAGGAUGCAAGCGUUAUCCGGAAUUAUUGGGCGUAAAGCGUCCGCAGGUGGUUUUGAAAGUUUGCUGUCAAAGCGUGCAGCUCAACUGCAUAUCGGCGGUGAAAACUACAAGACUAGAGUUUGGUAGGGGUCACGGGAAUUCCCAGUGUAGCGGUGAAAUGCGUAGAUAUUGGGAAGAACACCAGCGGCGAAAGCGCGUGACUGGGCCUGAACUGACACUCAUGGACGAAAGCUAGGGGAGCGAAAGGG
RNAcentral lists this ribosomal RNA (253 nucleotides) under uncultured prokaryote. RNAcentral's name for it is "partial 16S ribosomal RNA". It matches the Rfam family "Bacterial small subunit ribosomal RNA", at positions 524 to 776 of the family's 1533-position model. The record is from RNAcentral.